GACGAACGCUGGCGGCGUGCUUAACACAUGCAAGUCGAACGGUGACCCAGGGCUUGCCCUGGUGAUCAGUGGCGAACGGGUGAGUAACACGUGGGGCAACCUGCCCCUGACUUCGGGAUAACUCCUCGAAAGAGGAGCUAAUACCGGAUACGACCACUUCGGACAUCCGAUGGUGGUGGAAAGUUUUUCGGUCAGGGAUGGGCCCGCGGCCUAUCAGCUAGUUGGUGGGGUAAUGGCCUACCAAGGCGACGACGGGUAGCCGGCCUGAGAGGGCGACCGGCCACACUGGGACUGAGACACGGCCCAGACUCCUACGGGAGGCAGCAGUGGGGAAUAUUGCGCAAUGGGCGAAAGCCUGACGCAGCGACGCCGCGUGAGGGAUGAAGGCCUUCGAGUUGUAAACCUCUUUCAGCAGGGACGAAGCGAAAGUGACGGUACCUGCAGAAGAAGCACCGGCUAACUACGUAGCCAGCAGCCGCGGUAAU
This 485-nucleotide ribosomal RNA is filed under the name uncultured bacterium. RNAcentral describes it as "bacterial SSU rRNA". It matches the Rfam family "Bacterial small subunit ribosomal RNA", at positions 28 to 524 of the family's 1533-position model. The record is from RNAcentral.